ACCUUUCUGCGAAAUGUAAUCAUGGAAUCUUGGAAACCUCUUGGGCCUCCAGUUCUCACUCUUCAGAUACAGAGGAUGUGAGUUGCACCCUGAGCCCUCUCGCUCUCAGCUGAGUGAAGCGUGCUUCGGUAAGGCAAUUUUCUGUACAUUUACUUACUCCUCACUUGAUUCAACAAAUAUUGGUCGAGCCACAUGUUGACCCAAAUCCUCUUUCAAUGUCAAGCAAAUUGUAUUUAUUUGGAAAUCAUGCCUGACUUUUAACAUUUAUAAUUAGACAUUUAUAUUAUGAUACAUGAUGCCUUCUCAUCUAGUUUUGUUUCCUUUUUAUUUCACUGAGUCAGAGAGGGUUGGAGAUGUGAUUGUGUUGUGCUUGUAAUAUGCUGACAGAAAGCUGACAGCUGCUGAAAUCACCCCAGACAGAAGCCUGUAUUUUAAGAGGAAUAAUACCAGGGAGAGAGGGAUGAAGAGGAAAAUAGAAACUGGGGGGGGG
This 490-nucleotide long non-coding RNA is filed under the name Felis catus (domestic cat). RNAcentral's name for it is "lncRNA (ENSFCAG00000040730.2)". Lineage: Eukaryota; Metazoa; Chordata; Mammalia; Carnivora; Felidae. The record is from RNAcentral.